RNAcentral lists this long non-coding RNA (1063 nucleotides) under Pan troglodytes (chimpanzee). RNAcentral describes it as "long non-coding RNA NONPTRT014041". The record is from RNAcentral. Lineage: Eukaryota; Metazoa; Chordata; Mammalia; Primates; Hominidae.
CGUGGCCCAGCCCCGCGCCUCCGCCCCGGGCAGCGCGCAUUCCCCUCUUCCAGAGGGGCCUCUUUAACGGCUCCCCAUGAAAUAAUCAUUCAUUAUGUCACCAGGAGGGAAGAAAGGGAGUAUUUUGUGAAGCUGUCCCAUUCAAAGCCACCCCCAGAGGCCCGGAGGAGACCACAAAGCUGCGAACACAGCCGGGACCUGCCCACUGACACACUGAAGAGUCAACACGAUUCAGGAAAACACUUUCAAAGAGUGUUUUUUCUUGGACAGAUAACAUUCUGUUUUGUUUCUGAGAGGAAAAAAAAAAAUGGACCCUCCGCCUCACAUUUUUGAAAACACCAGCAGCAGGGCUGCCACCAAUUUGGUCAUUCGAAGAAAAGGCGGGUCUCAGGAAUAUGGAUGGCUGUCCUCCCUUUCCCCUUCAGAUGUCAGCCGCAUCUACUCCUGCUUUUGGAAAACCCCAGGGCAAACGGACCUGCCAGGCAGCCAACCAACCACCAGCCCCCUGAAAGGCUGGAACCCAGCUGCCCAAUUCGGUUGCUCCUGUCCAAAGCCAGACAGGUGGCAACCCAGAUUGAAUCUGUUGUUGUGGGAAUGAUUUGAUUCACAAACAAGGUUAUUAAAUUUUAUAUGGAGACACAGGCGAAAGUCACAAGAUCCUGGAGAGAAAGACCUGAUUCACAUAAAUUUAUCUUAAUAGCUGUGAAUUCGGGAGCAUAAAGCAGAAAAAAAAUUAAUGGAAAGGCAUUUCACCUCCUCCGUCUGCCUGCUCUCCUCCACUCCCCGGCACAUAAUAUGCCCACACACACACAUACAUCAACAACUGCCAUGACUCCAUCCAGCCUUUUGCAGGAGGAGCCCAACACAUUGAUCUGAGCCUGUUUUGACAUAUAAACUCCAAUUUGGCCCCAAGUCACUGCGAGUGGACACUGCCACCAACGGCUCUGACACUAGGUUAUUUGUUGUUGCUGUUCGCUGUCCCUGUUUGCACAUUAAUCCAGUGACAAUUAGGUGUCAGCGAGCGUUGUUUCUGCUUAGCUGAUAGCCUUGGGCUCUGCGCUUG